AGCCAUGCAUGUCUCAGUGCAUGCCGAAUUAAGGUGAAACCGCGAAUGGCUCAUUAAAUCAGUUAUGGUUCAUUAGAUUGUACCCACAUUUACUUGGAUAACUGUGGUAAUUCUAGAGCUAAUACAUGCAAAACAGAGUCCCGACCAGUGAUGGGAGGGACGCUUUUAUUAGAUCAAAACCAAUCGGUGGCGGGCGGUCGUCCGUUCGUCCACCGUUUACUUUGGUGACUCUGAAUAACUUUGUGCUGAUCGCACGGUCCUAGCACCGGCGACGCAUCUUUCAAAUGUCUGCCUUAUCAACUGUCGAUGGUAGGUUCUGCGCCUACCAUGGUUGUAACGGGUAACGGGGAAUCAGGGUUCGAUUCCGGAGAGGGAGCCUGAGAAACGGCUACCACAUCCAAGGAAGGCAGCAGGCGCGCAAAUUACCCACUCCCGGCACGGGGAGGUAGUGACGAAAAAUAACGAUACGGGACUCAUCCGAGGCCCCGUAAUCGGAAUGAGUACACUUUAAAUCCUUUAACAAGGAUCCAUUGGAGGGCAAGUCUGGUGCCAGCAGCCGCGGUAAUUCCAGCUCCAAUAGCGUAUAUUAAAGUUGUUGCGGUUAAAAAGCUCGUAGUUGAAUCUGUGUCGCACACCGUCGGUUCACCGCUCGCGGUGUUUAACUGGCGUGAUGUGGGACGUCCUACCGGUGGGCUUAGCCUCGCGAGGGGCGGCCCAACUAAUAUCCCGUCG
This 732-nucleotide ribosomal RNA is filed under the name Myrmecia fulviculis. Its description in RNAcentral is "SSU rRNA". It matches the Rfam family "Eukaryotic small subunit ribosomal RNA", at positions 47 to 759 of the family's 1831-position model. Lineage: Eukaryota; Metazoa; Arthropoda; Insecta; Hymenoptera; Formicidae. The record is from RNAcentral.